GCAAUGCUGGUUCAGUGGUAGAAUUCUCACCUUCCACGCAGGAGACCCAGGUUUGAUUCCUGGCCAAUGCA
RNAcentral lists this transfer RNA (71 nucleotides) under Loxodonta africana (African savanna elephant). It matches the Rfam family "tRNA". From Rfam's summary of the family: Transfer RNA (tRNA) molecules are approximately 80 nucleotides in length. Their secondary structure includes four short double-helical elements and three loops (D, anti-codon, and T loops). Further hydrogen bonds mediate the characteristic L-shaped molecular structure. tRNAs have two regions of fundamental functional importance: the anti-codon, which is responsible for specific mRNA codon recognition, and the 3' end, to which the tRNAs corresponding amino acid is attached (by aminoacyl-tRNA synthetases). tRNAs cope with the degeneracy of the genetic code in two manners: having more than one tRNA (with a specific anti-codon) for a particular amino acid; and 'wobble' base-pairing, i.e. permitting non-standard base-pairing at the 3rd anti-codon position. The record is from Rfam by way of RNAcentral. Lineage: Eukaryota; Metazoa; Chordata; Mammalia; Proboscidea; Elephantidae.